UUUCUUCAUUAGUACGUCAUGUUGGUGACUGAAGCCUGUUAUGAUGACUUCAACACAUUUCUUCUGACAGGUUGGUAGAAGAAAUGCUGUCCAGAAUGUUUCUAUAAGCUGACUAAUUUCUAUAAUGCCUAAUGUCUGAGUUGUGUUCAUGGUAAUUAUUUCUGACAUUUUUAUGCUUUAUGUUGUAGGUGGUGAAAAAUGCUCUCCAGGGUAAACCGGGUGGACAAAGUAUUUUGAAUGACUGUGAUGGUGACACACACACACACAGGUGGGUCUGGUUAGUUUUGCUCACACUUCUCUUUAAAAUGUUUAUUUAUUAUCCUAAUGUGUCUGCUAUUUAUCCUGUUGUUCCUCCAGGCUGGGAAAACCAGGCAUUCUUCUGUUGGUUCAUGUGCUUCAUCCUACAUCCAAAGGCCACAAGAAGAAUCCAAAACAGCUCAUGUCAAACUGUGGACCAUGUUUUCAGAUAUGUGCAGAUGCAAGCCAGUGUUGAAGCCUUCCUCAUUGCCGUGGAACCAGGACAGCCCUUCCUAAAGCAUGUUGGUGAAAACAAGAGCAGCACCAAAGACACUUCACCAUCAGUAAUCACAAGAUCAUCCAAGUCGCUACAUUGGGAUUAACCCAGAAAGGGGCACAAAAGCCAAUCAUGGGAAGAUGGUAUCCAAAAAGACA
Molecule: long non-coding RNA, 672 nt
Organism: Poecilia latipinna (sailfin molly)
Lineage: Eukaryota; Metazoa; Chordata; Actinopteri; Cyprinodontiformes; Poeciliidae
Exons: 3
Source: RefSeq, a predicted model, not a curated record